This 468-nucleotide ribosomal RNA is filed under the name uncultured bacterium. RNAcentral's name for it is "partial 16S ribosomal RNA". It matches the Rfam family "Bacterial small subunit ribosomal RNA", at positions 28 to 507 of the family's 1533-position model. The record is from RNAcentral.
GACGAACGCUGGCGGCGUGCUUAACACAUGCAAGUCGAACGGAAAGGCCCUGCUUUUGUGGGGUUCUCGAGUGGCGAACGGGUGAGUAACACGUGAGUAACCUGCCCCUGACUUUGGGAUAACUUCAGGAAACUGGGGCUAAUACCGGAUAGGAGCUCCUGCUGCAUGGUGGGGGUUGGAAAGGUUCGGCGGUUGGGGAUGGACUCGCGGCUUAUCAGCUUGAUGGGGGGGUAGUGGCUUACCAAGGCUUUGACGGGUAGCCGGCCUGAGAGGGUGGCCGGGCACAUUGGGACUGAGGUAGGGCGCAGAAUCGAACGGGAGGCAACAGUGGGGAAUAUUACACAAUGGGCGGGGGGCUGAUGAAGCAACGCCGCGUGCGGGAAGACGGCAUGCGGGUUGUAAACCGCUUUCGCCUGUGCCGAAGCGUGAGUGACGGUAAUGGGUAAAGAAGCACCGGCUAACUACGUG